RNAcentral lists this ribosomal RNA (488 nucleotides) under Blastocystis sp. subtype 3. RNAcentral describes it as "SSU rRNA". It matches the Rfam family "Eukaryotic small subunit ribosomal RNA", at positions 512 to 1008 of the family's 1831-position model. The record is from RNAcentral. Lineage: Eukaryota; Bigyra; Opalinata; Blastocystidae.
AUUGAGACAACGUACAAACCUUAUCGAUAAACAAUUGGAGGGCAAGUCUGGUGCCAGCAGCCGCGGUAAUUCCAGCUCCAAUAGCGUAUAUUAACGUUGUUGCAGUUAAAAAGCUCGUAGUUGAAAUGAAGGGUAGUUGUGUAAUGAAUACAUUCGUGUAUUUUGUUAUUCUACUACCCUCCUUCUAAAUUCGAUAUAUGAGUAUUAAUUUACUUGUAUAUGGUUUUAGACCUUUACUGUGAGAAAAUUAGAGUGUUCAAAGCAGGCAUUUGCUUGAAUAUAUUAGCAUGGAAUAAUCAUGUAUGAUUUUCAUGAUGUAUUUGAUUGGUUUGGUUCAUGAGAAUAAGAUUAAAAGGGACAGUUGGGGGUAUUCAUAUUCAAUAGUCAGAGGUGAAAUUCUCGGAUUUAUGGAAGAUGAACAAGUGCGAAAGCAUUUACCAAGGAUGUUUUCAUUAAUCAAGAACGAAAGUUAGGGGAUCGAAGAGGAU